RNAcentral lists this ribosomal RNA (443 nucleotides) under uncultured bacterium. RNAcentral describes it as "partial 16S ribosomal RNA". It matches the Rfam family "Bacterial small subunit ribosomal RNA", at positions 338 to 795 of the family's 1533-position model. The record is from RNAcentral.
CCUACGGUGUGCAGCAGUCGGGAAUAUUGGGCAAUGGAGGAAACUCUGACCCAGCAAUACCGCGUGAAGGAUGAAGGUUUUCGGAUUGUAAACUUCUGUUAUAAAGGAAGAAAAAAAUGACGGUACUUUAUAUGUAAGCCCCGGCAAACUAUGUGCCAGCCGCCGCGGUGAUACAUAGGGGGCAAGCGUUGUCCGGAAUGACUGGGUGUAAAGGGUGUGUAGGUGGCUUAUUAAGUGAGAGGUGCACGCACGAAGCUCAACGUCGGAACUGCCUUUAAAACUGGUUGGCUUGAGUGUGGGAGAGGUUAGUGGAACUCCUAGGGUAGCGGUGGAAUGCGUAGAGAUUAGGAAGAACAUCAGAGGCGAAGGCGACUAACUGGAACAUUACUGACACUGAAACACGAAAGCGUGGGGAGCAAACAGGAUUAGAUACCCCAGUAGUC